UACGGAGGGUGCGAGCGUUGUUCGGAAUCACUGGGCGUAAAGCGCGUGUAGGCGGUCCACUAAGUCUGAUGUGAAAGCCCGGGGCUCACCCCCGGAAGUGCAUUGGAAACUGGUGGACUCGAGUCCCGGAGAGGAGAGUAGAAUUCCUGGUGUAGCGGUGAAAUGCGUAGAUAUCAGGAGGAAUACCGGUGGCGAAGGCGGCUCUCUGGACGGUGACUGACGCUGAGACGCGAAAGCGUGGGGAG
RNAcentral lists this ribosomal RNA (245 nucleotides) under uncultured bacterium. RNAcentral's name for it is "partial 16S ribosomal RNA". It matches the Rfam family "Bacterial small subunit ribosomal RNA", at positions 524 to 768 of the family's 1533-position model. The record is from RNAcentral.